CCUACGGGUGGCAGCAGUGAGGAAUAUUGGUCAAUGGGCGCGAGCCUGAACCAGCCAAGUCGCGUGAGGGAAGACGGUCCUAUGGAUUGUAAACCUCUUUUGUCGGGGAGCAAAAGACGCCACGCGUGGCGUUUCGAGAGUAGCCGAAGAAAAACCAUCGGCUAACUCCGUGCCAGCAGCCGCGGUAAUACGGAGGAUGCCAGCGUUAUCCGGAUUUAUUGGGUUUAAAGGGAGCGUAGUUGGAUUGUUAAGUCAGUUGUGAAAGUUUGCGGCUCAACCGUAAAAUUGCAGUUGAAACUGGCAGUCGUGAGUACAGUAGAGGUGGGCGGAAUUCGUGGUGUAGCGGUGAAAUGCUUAGAUAUCACGAAGAACUCCGAUUGCGAAGGCAGUUCACUGGACUGCAACUGACACUGAGGCUCGAAAGUGUGGGUAUCAAACAGGAUUAGAUACCCCGGUAGUC
This 460-nucleotide ribosomal RNA is filed under the name uncultured bacterium. RNAcentral's name for it is "partial 16S ribosomal RNA". It matches the Rfam family "Bacterial small subunit ribosomal RNA", at positions 338 to 795 of the family's 1533-position model. The record is from RNAcentral.